GGAGAUAUAGCUUAGUGGAAAAGUGCUUACCUAAUAUUUAUGAGGCCCUGGGUUCCAUUCCCAGCAUCACAA
RNAcentral lists this transfer RNA (72 nucleotides) under Neotoma lepida (desert woodrat). It matches the Rfam family "tRNA". Rfam says of the family: Transfer RNA (tRNA) molecules are approximately 80 nucleotides in length. Their secondary structure includes four short double-helical elements and three loops (D, anti-codon, and T loops). Lineage: Eukaryota; Metazoa; Chordata; Mammalia; Rodentia; Cricetidae. The record is from Rfam by way of RNAcentral.